This 446-nucleotide ribosomal RNA is filed under the name Bacillus sp. (in: firmicutes). RNAcentral describes it as "bacterial SSU rRNA". It matches the Rfam family "Bacterial small subunit ribosomal RNA", at positions 331 to 769 of the family's 1533-position model. The record is from RNAcentral. Lineage: Bacteria; Bacillati; Bacillota; Bacilli; Caryophanales; Bacillaceae.
CCCUACUCCUACGGGAGGCAGCAGUAGGGAAUCUUCCGCAAUGGACGAAAGUCUGACGGAGCAACGCCGCGUGAGUGAUGAAGGUUUUCGGAUCGUAAAGCUCUGUUGUUAGGGAAGAACAAGUACCGUUCGAAUAGGGCGGUACCUUGACGGUACCUAACCAGAAAGCCACGGCUAACUACGUGCCAGCAGCCGCGGUAAUACGUAGGUGGCAAGCGUUGUCCGGAAUUAUUGGGCGUAAAGGGCUCGCAGGCGGUUUCUUAAGUCUGAUGUGAAAGCCCCCGGCUCAACCGGGGAGGGUCAUUGGAAACUGGGGAACUUGAGUGCAGAAGAGGAGAGUGGAAUUCCACGUGUAGCGGUGAAAUGCGUAGAGAUGUGGAGGAACACCAGUGGCGAAGGCGACUCUCUGGUCUGUAACUGACGCUGAGAGCGAAAGCUAAACCCUU